CCCGAAAGAUCGAACGGGGAGAUUCAUCGUCGGCGGCGUCGGCUUCGCCGCGGCUCGCGAUGUCGCGUACCUCUCGGGGUACGGGGCACGUGGUCGCGUCGCGUUAUGUCCGGCGACGUGGGCGUGCACUUCUCCCCCGGUAGAACGUCGCGACCCGUUGGGCGUCGGCAUAAGGCCCGCACGGCACAGACUGUCCCGGCGUUAACCGCGUCCGGGGCAGACCGUCGCGGUUCGCCCGGCCGGCUGCCCGACGGUACACGCACGGUAUUUGGCCGCAUCGAACGUGCGCCCGGCCCGCCGCAAGCGCGGCCAGCGAUUCCCGGUGGUCGGACCCAGCGCCGUCCCCGGGUCUGGUCAGCUGUUGGCGCGCGGUGUCCUCGGGCUGGCCAAUCGAAUUUACACAGAAAUACCGGUCGGCGACGCUAUUGCUUUGGGUACUUUCA
This 443-nucleotide ribosomal RNA is filed under the name Perreyia picea. Its description in RNAcentral is "eukaryotic LSU rRNA". The record is from RNAcentral. Lineage: Eukaryota; Metazoa; Arthropoda; Insecta; Hymenoptera; Pergidae.